ACAGCCAUAUCAUGUUGAAACAUUGGUUCUCAUAUGAUCACCGAAGUUAAGCAACAUUGAGCCUGAUCAGUACCUAGAUGGGUGACCGCUUGGGAAUACCAGGUGCUGUAAG
Molecule: ribosomal RNA, 112 nt
Filed under: Acanthosepion pharaonis
Lineage: Eukaryota; Metazoa; Mollusca; Cephalopoda; Sepiida; Sepiidae
Source: RNAcentral